This 906-nucleotide ribosomal RNA is filed under the name Klebsiella pneumoniae. Its description in RNAcentral is "bacterial SSU rRNA". It matches the Rfam family "Bacterial small subunit ribosomal RNA", at positions 622 to 1528 of the family's 1533-position model. Lineage: Bacteria; Pseudomonadati; Pseudomonadota; Gammaproteobacteria; Enterobacterales; Enterobacteriaceae. The record is from RNAcentral.
UGCAUUCGAAACUGGCAGGCUAGAGUCUUGUAGAGGGGGGUAGAAUUCCAGGUGUAGCGGUGAAAUGCGUAGAGAUCUGGAGGAAUACCGGUGGCGAAGGCGGCCCCCUGGACAAAGACUGACGCUCAGGUGCGAAAGCGUGGGGAGCAAACAGGAUUAGAUACCCUGGUAGUCCACGCCGUAAACGAUGUCGAUUUGGAGGUUGUGCCCUUGAGGCGUGGCUUCCGGAGCUAACGCGUUAAAUCGACCGCCUGGGGAGUACGGCCGCAAGGUUAAAACUCAAAUGAAUUGACGGGGGCCCGCACAAGCGGUGGAGCAUGUGGUUUAAUUCGAUGCAACGCGAAGAACCUUACCUGGUCUUGACAUCCACAGAACUUUCCAGAGAUGGAUUGGUGCCUUCGGGAACUGUGAGACAGGUGCUGCAUGGCUGUCGUCAGCUCGUGUUGUGAAAUGUUGGGUUAAGUCCCGCAACGAGCGCAACCCUUAUCCUUUGUUGCCAGCGGUCAGGCCGGGAACUCAAAGGAGACUGCCAGUGAUAAACUGGAGGAAGGUGGGGAUGACGUCAAGUCAUCAUGGCCCUUACGACCAGGGCUACACACGUGCUACAAUGGCAUAUACAAAGAGAAGCGACCUCGCGAGAGCAAGCGGACCUCAUAAAGUAUGUCGUAGUCCGGAUUGGAGUCUGCAACUCGACUCCAUGAAGUCGGAAUCGCUAGUAAUCGUAGAUCAGAAUGCUACGGUGAAUACGUUCCCGGGCCUUGUACACACCGCCCGUCACACCAUGGGAGUGGGUUGCAAAAGAAGUAGGUAGCUUAACCUUCGGGAGGGCGCUUACCACUUUGUGAUUCAUGACUGGGGUGAAGUCGUAACAAGGUAACCGUAGGGGAACCUGCGGUUGGAUCACCU